Cavia porcellus (domestic guinea pig) is the source of this 640-nucleotide long non-coding RNA. RefSeq lists it as uncharacterized. The transcript has 4 exons. NCBI's taxonomy places the organism in Eukaryota, Metazoa, Chordata, Mammalia, Rodentia, Caviidae. The record is from RefSeq and is a predicted model, not a curated record.
ACAAAUUCAUAAAUUUGUUGGUUAGGAAAGGGAAUUUGCCAGCUUCCUCUGUAUAUUUUUUUCCUGCAUACUACACGCCCAUAGAGCUAUAUCUUUGUGUAAUGGCUGAAGAGAGGAAGGAUAAUGGCCAGCUGCUCUGGACAGGAGUGGAGCGAGAGGGGCCUACCUCCAGCGUGCAGCUAUGAGGUUCUUUAUAGUAAAGAAUUUGCUUCUCAGUAAAGCUCUUUAUUCUUUGCAACAGGUUGGUGAGAAAUACAAGAAACUAGUGAUAGCCAAGGUUGGUGACCAGAUACCAUUAUCUCAGCACUUACGACCUUGAGGCAAAAGGAUCACUGUGAGUUCAAGGCCAUCCUGAAUUACAUGGAUUUACAAGCAAGAACUAAACCACUUGCAGGUGAGUGUGGAUAAUCCUGUCUCCAUCCAUGUGAAGAUGAAGGAAAACGUGGUCCCUUCCCCUUACUCUAACGAGGAGGCUCUGCCUCUCGAAACAGCUUUGGCAGAGGUUGUGCAGCAGCUGCCAUGGAGGUAUGAGCACCCACCAGUGUUAAUCUUCUGCAAGGAUAUUAGAGACAUAAUGAGGAAAGCCAGAGUGUCACAUUCAUGUUUUUCAUAAGGAAGCCAUCUUUAUCCAGAGCCCCAG